UUGACCUCGGAUCAGGUAGGGAUACCCGCUGAACUUAAGCAUAUCAAUAAGCGGAGGAAAAGAAACCAACAGGGAUUGCCCCAGUAACGGCGAGUGAAGCGGCAAGAGCUCAAAUUUGAAAGCUGGCUCCUUCGGGGUCCGCAUUGUAAUUUGCAGAGGAUGCUUCGGGAGCGGUCCCCAUCUAAGUGCCCUGGAACGGGACGUCAUAGAGGGUGAGAAUCCCGUAUGGGAUGGGGUGUCCGCGCCCGUGUGAAGCUCCUUCGACGAGUCGAGUUGUUUGGGAAUGCAGCUCUAAAUGGGUGGUAAAUUUCAUCUAAAGCUAAAUAUUGGCCGGAGACCGAUAGCGCACAAGUAGAGUGAUCGAAAGAUGAAAAGCACUUUGAAAAGAGAGUUAAAAAGCACGUGAAAUUGUUGAAAGGGAAGCGCUUGCGACCAGACUCGCUCGCGGGGUUCAGCCGGCAUUCGUGCCGGUGUAUUUCCCCGCGGGCGGGCCAGCGUCGGUUUGGGCGGUCGGUCAAAGGCCCUCGGAAGGUAACGCCCCUAGGGGCGUCUUAUAGCCGAGGGUGCAAUGCGACCUGCCUAGACCGAGGAACGCGCUUCGGCUCGGACGCUGGCAUAAUGGUCGUAAGCGAC
Molecule: ribosomal RNA, 633 nt
Filed under: Penicillium expansum
Lineage: Eukaryota; Fungi; Ascomycota; Eurotiomycetes; Eurotiales; Aspergillaceae
Description: eukaryotic LSU rRNA
Rfam family: Eukaryotic large subunit ribosomal RNA
Source: RNAcentral